UCUUUGAACGGGAUGGAAAACCGUGCAAACAUUCUGCCCGUGCAUUCGGGACCGGAUCGGGAAACAAUGAAGCGUUUCAUCACAUCACAGGUGACACAUUAUAGCGUCUUUCUCAUAACGCGUAAUUGGGGAAACCUCGAGCUGAGAGAGAAAUCCGAGCUCAGAUAUGCAGCUCUGCAAUCAGCCAGCCACUGAUUGUUGUGUGUUUUUUGUGUCUGCUUUUCUUUUCUUUCCUUUUUCUUUUUCUCUCUUGCAGUAAUCACUGUAAUACAUCAGUGCGGAGUAUCAACGUCUUUCUUUCAUGCACAUGACUGCUCCUGUGACUGAAAAUGUCCCGGUGUUAAUUCAGAAUCAGUGCAUAAAGACAGAGAGACUGAGAGCAAUGGCUUGCAUCACUGAAACGCUGAUGCGCUCGCGCUGAUCGGAGAUUUGACGUGGGGGGGAAAGGGGGAGAUUCACGCGCAGGUGAAGUGAAGUUCGGCAUAAACAUGCAAAAGACUGGACUUCUUCAUCCGACUCAGGAUUCCCACUGCUGCUGCUACUGCUUGUGUCACCGAGUCCUCUUGCGAAUGGAGGUGUCGGAUAAACAGAUCUAAUCCGAUCUGUUGACAAAACACACCCCCAGAUGUGGAAAGAAACAUCUGCAAUGUGAUCCAAGGAAUCACCUGCGCCUCUCACAUGAUGAUGAAGGUCAGAGGGAUGAAGCUGUUCUUAAUGAAGUGCUUGUUAUUCCUGCGCUGGGUUUGGCUUUGUUUGGCUGCUUGUGGUGGGAAGGUGGAGCUUCACACGGAGAGAAGAGGAGUGAUCUACAGUCCAUCCUGGCCUCUGAACUAUCCUGCUGGAGUCAAUUGUACCUGGAACAUCCAGGGAAACCACGGAGAGGUCAUCACUAUAAGCUUCCACAGCUUUGACGUGGAGGAAUCCGGGGGAUGUCGGGGAGACUGGCUGCUGCUUGGCCCCACGUGGAAAGACGAGUAUCGCGUAUGCGGCUCGGCCCUGCCUCCUCCGUUCAUCUCCUCCCGAGGUGCCGUGUGGCUCCACUUUCACUCGCAGGCCAACAGCUCGGGACUGGCGCAAGGCUUCCGGCUCUCCUACAUACGCAGUCGUCUGGGAGAGAGCAGCUGUGAGAAUGAUGAGUAUCUGUGUGGUAAUGGGAAGUGUGUACCACGUUCCUGGCGCUGUAACGGUCUGGACGAAUGCGGAGACGACACGGACGAGAGAAGCUGCAUUGGUCCUCCCACGCCCGCCCGGGCCAGCCUGUGUGCCCCGGGUACGCUGGAGUGCAGCCUUGCCCAGUCCACCCACUGCCUGCCCUCAGCACUGCGCUGUAACGGUGUGCACGACUGCCCCGACGGCUCCGACGAGGCUCAGUGUCCCGACAUGGUGUGUGGAAAACGACUGGCUAACUUUUACGGCAUGUUUGCCUCGCCAGAUUUCUUCCGGCCGAACCGCAGCACUGGCACUGACCUCUACUGCACCUGGUUCCUGGACACACAGGACCCGAAGCCUCUGCUGUUGAGGUUGGACCUGCAGCUGGGUGCGGGUGACUCUGUGCGUGUGUAUGACGGUCUCGGGGAACGAGCCGAGCGUCUGCUGCAGAGUCUCACACACCACAACAACCAGCGUUCUGCCCUGCUGGAGUCCUCACAGGGGCAGAUGAGUGUCCUGUACCACGCCAAACCUCACAGCCAGGGGCACGGCUUCAACGCCUCCUACCAGGUGAAGGGUUACUGUUUCCCGGGUGAGUUUCCGUGCGGUCCAGAUGAAGGCUGUUACGCUCAGUAUCAGCGCUGUGAUGGUUACUGGCACUGUCCGAGCGGCCGAGAUGAGGAGGGGUGCUCGCUGUGUGCCCCGGGUCAGUACCCGUGCCAGGGGGCAGGUGGUGUGUGUUACUCGGCUCACGAGCGCUGCGAUAAUCAGAAACAGUGUCCGGACGGCUCGGAUGAGAAAAACUGCUUCUCCUGCCAGCCGGGAACGUUCCACUGCGCGACCAACUUGUGCAUCCUGGAGACGUGGCGCUGUGACGGGCAGGAGGACUGCGCUGACGGCAGCGACGAGCGCGAGUGCCAGGCUGCAGUGCCACGCAAAGUCAUCACGGCGGCGCUGAUCGGCAGCAUGGCGUGCGGCUUACUGCUCGUCAUCGCCCUCGGCUGUGCUUUCAAACUCUACUCGCUUAGAACCAGGGAGUACCGUGCUUUUGAAACCCAGAUGACGCAGCUGGAGGCGGAGUUUGUUCAGAGAGAAGCUCCGCCCUCCUACGGUCAGCUGAUUGCUCAGGGUCUCAUCCCACCUGUGGAGGAUUUUCCUGCUUAUAAUCCUGCUCAGGUGUCCGUCCUUCACAGUCUCCGCUCGGCCAUGCGGAGACAGAUGAGGCGCCAUUCUUCCCGCCGCAUGGCGUCACGCCGCAGACUGGGCCGCCUUUGGAGUCGUCUGUUCCAGCGAGGGAAUCGGCUGCGUGGUCAUAUCCUCCUUCUUACCCCACCCGGACGCACACACUCUCCCUCUCAGACACACCCUCUGCCGUCCGGUCACGCACACCUCGGCUCUCGGACUGGGAGCAGCAGCCACUGUGGUGUAGAUGGGCAGAGCGGCGAGUGGGUGGACCUGCAGGCUCACGCCGAGGCUCUGUGCUUAGCCGAAAGCGGUUCGCCGGCGUCAUCCCCCACAUCCCCAGCCCUGCCGCGUUCCACCUCAGACACGCUGGAGGACGAAGACGACGAGAACGACGACGAAGACCGUAACCCAGCGUCAGAUCGUAGGCCCAGAGACGAGCGACGAUCACGUGGAGCUCCGCGACGACCCUCGCGCCUACCGUUUCCAUCACGAGCGUCCAGGAGGGUCGUCCAGGGACUCGCCACCGAACUGGGAGCUGCUCCAGUAACACGCUACUCCGUACUGGGAAUCUCUCCUCUGUCCACGCCGGAUUCUCUGACGUCAUCCAGCAGCCAGAACGAAGAAGACGUGAAUUCACCGACACACACAGACAUCUGCUCAAACACUCGUACUGAGCCACACGCUGACCACAACACACACUCAGCACUUAGAGAUAAAAGUGUGAAGAGAAACAGGAUGCAGAGCGGACACCCGAGCAGUGACGAAGAUGAGGACGACGUUCUGUUCAUGCGCUAAAGGGCCUUCAUCCUCUUUCAAACUUUUUACAUUAGCAGAAACCUUGCUCUCAGAGUGUGUGGGAAAAGUUUACCGAUGACUGUACAUCACGGAUCACGUCCAUCAUGACAUCAUGUUUAUUAUAUAAAUAACACUGUAGACUGAAUCUGUUUAUAUUUUGCAAACAGAAAUAAUUGUAAGGAGUCGAGUGUGUGUGGGCGUGGCCAGGGUUUCACUGUGGAAUGUGGGCGGGGUCAGUUUUUACAGGAGAGUUUGGGCGGUCAUGGUCAUGGCUUUUACAGGAGUAUGUAGGUGUGGUCACAGACCAUGCAGGAAAAUGUGGGUGUGGUCAUUGUUUCAGAAGACACAUGAGGGGGCAUGGACAUUGUUUCUGUGGGUGUGAUCACAGUUUCAGCAAAAACAUGGGGGUGUGGUCAGUCUUUCUACAAGAACAUGUGGGUGUGGUCAUUGUUUUUUCAGGGACAUGUGGGUGUGGUCAUUAUUUCAUUAGGGACAAGUGGGCAUGCUUAUUGCUUCUGCAGGAGCAUUUGAGCAUGGUCACAAAGACAGGGAUGUGGUCAUUGUGUCUGUACAAGUAUGUGGGUGUGGUCACAGUUUCUACACAGAUGUGGGUGUGGUCAUUGUUUCUAUAGAUGCAGGUGGGUGUGGUCACAGUUUCUACACAGACAUGUGAGUGUGGUCCUUGUUUGUAUAGAUGCAGGUGGGUGUGGUCACAGUUUCUACACAGAAAUGUGGGUGUGGUCAUUGUUUCUAUAGAUGCAGGUGGGUGUGGUCACAGUUUCUACACAGAAAUGUGGGUGUGGUCAUUGUUUCUACAGAUGCAGGUGGGUGUGGUCAGUUUCUACACAGACACAUGGAUGUGAUUAUUGUUUCUAUAGAUGCAGGUGGGUGUGGCCACAGUUUCUACACAGACAAGUGGGUGUGGUUAUUGUUUCUAUAGAUACAGGUGGGUGUGGUCACAGUUUCUCCACAGACAUGUGGGAGUGGUUAUUGUUUCUAUAGAUGCAGGUGGGUGUGGCCAUAAUUUCUACAGAUGCAGGUAGGUGUGGGUACAGUUUCUACACAGACAUGUGGGUGUGGUUGUUGCUUCUGCAGGGACGUCUGAAUCUGGUUCAAGUUUCUUUAAAGAGCAUGUGGGUGUGUAGAGGGCGGGAUCAGAGUCUCUACAGAAGCAUGUGGGCGUGGUUACUGUAUCUAUAGUAUUUGCAUCAAUUCUCAACCCAGAAGCGGAGUGUGGGAUGAACGUGAACGCUCGUAAAUCUAAUAAAAUACGCACAUUUUUUAAAAUUCUGCUUCACAAAUUAUUACCAGUGGAGUAUUUAUUCUCAUUAGAAGUGUUUGUUCCCUGUAGUUAUUUUUUAGGAUUCUGCGUGCCGGAAGUGAUGUUUCAGGACCGAACUUUUUGCGCAAAAUGGUCACUCAUGGUCAGGAUUGUUGUGUCAGGCUCUCUGUAGAGGAGCAGAGAUCUCAGGGACAUGUGGUGUGUGUGUGAUGGUUCCUGGAGGAACCUUACAUUAUAUUUCUAUCCAUAUUUGUUUGUGAUCAGUAUGUAGGCCUGAAUGAAAGCUUUUUAAGUUCUCUGUAAGCAGCGGAUAAAUCCUUGGAAGGAAAAAUGGGACCUGAGCGCGCGCGCGCGCACACACACACACACACACACACACACACUCGUACACUGUGUGAUGAGGUUUGUUCUACCACAACGCAAGCUGCUUGAGAGAACGCAGUGUGAUGAGAAGACAAGAUGAACGAUUUUGUUAACAGAUAAUGAGUAAAAGAUGAAAAAAAUCCGGAUCUGUUAUGAUCAGGAGCGGUGUAGAUCCGAUUCCUCUGGGAUUUGACUCGAUUCCAUCGGGAAAUGUUGAGCAGUAAGGGAGUGUGAGAGGAACAGCUUUCAGUUCUGUUUAUUCCGGGUUGGUUAUUUUACACACAUGUUGAUGAUCUGAUGCUCAAAUUUAAUCUCUAUAAAUUAUUUUGAAUGUUCGGGUUAAAACAUCGCACCAUUUGUGGGCGGAGCCAGAGAGCUGCUUUUAAUGCUUAUUGGUCUAUUUUUUUUUUCUUGUACUAAUUUUAUGUGUCUCUUUUUUGCUGUUAAAUCUCAGUCAGAUAAAGUGCCAAUACAGAGAGAAUGAUCCGAAUAAAACCGCUGAACGUUUCAUGUGCCAUCGGGAGAAAUUGUGCGUUUUCGGAAAACUGCUGCUAAAGUUGCGCAAGAGAAAAGAUCUACGUCAUGGGUUUUUUUUCUUUUGGCUCUCAAAUGUAGAUUGUAUUCAAGAAA
Molecule: RNA transcript, 5404 nt
Organism: Hemibagrus wyckioides
Lineage: Eukaryota; Metazoa; Chordata; Actinopteri; Siluriformes; Bagridae
Gene: lrp3
Gene name: low density lipoprotein receptor-related protein 3
Exons: 9
Source: RefSeq, a predicted model, not a curated record